CUGAGUUAUCAAACUCCAAACCCAUGUGAACAUACUCUUGUUGCCUCGGCGGCGAGCCUACCCGGGACCUACCCUGGAGCUACCCUGUACUUACCUACCCGGUACCUACCCUGUAGCGCUGGCAGACCGCCGAAGGACCAACUUAAACUCUUGUUUCUAUGUGGCACAUCUGAGUUACAUAUAUAAAUAAGUCA
Molecule: unclassified non-coding RNA, 194 nt
Filed under: uncultured Xylariales
Lineage: Eukaryota; Fungi; Ascomycota; Sordariomycetes; Xylariales
Description: sequence contains ITS1
Source: RNAcentral